AUUGAGCGCUGGCGGCAGGCCUAACACAUGCAAGUCGAGCGGAGCGGCGGACGGGUGAGUAAUGCCUAGGAAUCUGCCUGGUAGUGGGGGAUAACGUCCGGAAACGGGCGCUAAUACCGCAUACUAUCAGAUGAGCCUAGGUCGGAUUAGCUAGUUGGUGGGGGAAAGGCCUACCAAGGCGACGAUCCGUAACUGGUCUGAGAGGAUGAUCAGUCACACUGGAACUGAGACACGGUCCAGACUCCUACGGGGUGCAGCAGUGGGGAAUAUUGCACAAGGGGCGAAAGCCUGAUGCAGCCAUGCCGCGUGUAUGAAGAAUGCCUUCGGGUGGUAAAUUACUUUCAGCGGGGAGGCGUUACCCGCAGAGGAAGCACCGGCUAACUCCGUGCCAGCCGCCGCGGUAAUAC
Molecule: ribosomal RNA, 407 nt
Filed under: uncultured bacterium
Lineage: Bacteria
Description: partial 16S ribosomal RNA
Rfam family: Bacterial small subunit ribosomal RNA
Source: RNAcentral